RNAcentral lists this ribosomal RNA (775 nucleotides) under uncultured Neocallimastigales. Its description in RNAcentral is "partial large subunit ribosomal RNA". It matches the Rfam family "Eukaryotic large subunit ribosomal RNA", at positions 24 to 635 of the family's 3401-position model. Lineage: Eukaryota; Fungi; Neocallimastigomycota; Neocallimastigomycetes; Neocallimastigales. The record is from RNAcentral.
UAUGUGAUCGUCUCUCGCAUAUCAAUAAGCGGAGGAAAAGAAACUAACAAGGAUUCCCCUAGUAACGGCGAGUGAAGCGGGAAGAGCUCAAAUUUGAAAUCUUAAAGGGUUUCCCUUUACGAAUUGUAGUUUAAAGAAGUGUUUUCUGUUGAGGUUUUGGUAAAAGUUCUUUGGAAUAGGACAUCAUAGAGGGUGAGAAUCCCGUAUUUGACCUUUACUUUCAACUUUGUGAUACACUUUCAAAGAGUCGGAUUGUUUGGGAAUGCAGUCCAAAAUGGGUGGUAAAUUUCAUCUAAAGCUAAAUAUUGGCGAGAGACCGAUAGCGAACAAGUACCGUGAGGGAAAGAUGAAAAGAACUUUGAAAAGAGAGUUAAACAGUACGUGAAAUUGUCAAAAGGGAAGCGUUUGACACCAGUGUUGUUUUUCUGAAAAUCAAUUAAAGAACUGUUUAUGCUAAGCUUGUUUAGACUUUAUCAGCUAUCUGCUUAGUUUUGAGCUUUUCUUUAAUGCACUUUUCAGUUAACAAGUCAACAUCAAUUUCUUUUGCUGUAAAAAAGCUUGAGGAAGGUGGCUUGAGAUUCGUCUUAAGUGUUUAUAGCCUCUUGCCUAUGCAGUCGGAGAGAUUGAGGUCUGCAGCGUAGAUCCUUCGGGGCUAAAUGCAUUUGUGCUAAGUUAUAGCAUUUUAUAGACAACUUGUUGACUAUGAUUUGUCUUGUAGCUUACUCGCUUAUGUUAUUUUACCUACGCUUAGGAUGUUGAUCUACAGAGCGAGAGU